This 253-nucleotide ribosomal RNA is filed under the name uncultured bacterium. Its description in RNAcentral is "partial 16S ribosomal RNA". It matches the Rfam family "Bacterial small subunit ribosomal RNA", at positions 524 to 776 of the family's 1533-position model. The record is from RNAcentral.
UACAGAGGUCCCGAGCGUUGUUCGGAUUCACUGGGCGUAAAGGGUGCGUAGGUGGCAUGGUAAGUUUGAUGUGAAAGCUCAGGGCUCAACCCUGAAAUGGCAUUGAAUACUACUGUGCUGGAGGUUUGGAGGGGGGACUGGAAUUCUUGGUGUAGCAGUGAAAUGCGUAGAUAUCAAGAGGAACACCAGUGGCGAAGGCGAGUCCCUGGACAACUCCUGACACUGAGGCACGAAAGCUAGGGGAGCAGACAGG